UGGCAGCAUUAUUUGUUUUAUUUAUUAUUUGAUGUGUCAACUCUCCACCAAUCAUUAAAGUAAGCAAACGCAAACAACUUACAGUGACUUUUCAAUGAGAAAUCAAUGAAUGAUGUAUUGUUCUCAUUGCCCUUCUAAGCUUCAAAUCCCAGAUAGAAUUUCAGGAAAGCUGUGUUGCCUGGUGAGAUGAAGGAGAAAUGACAGAUGGCAGCUCCCUGCACAGUACAAGAAGCCUUACAAGGU
Molecule: long non-coding RNA, 243 nt
Filed under: Homo sapiens (human)
Lineage: Eukaryota; Metazoa; Chordata; Mammalia; Primates; Hominidae
Description: HSALNT0073481
Source: RNAcentral